RNAcentral lists this unclassified non-coding RNA (144 nucleotides) under Cyathicula culmicola. RNAcentral describes it as "partial internal transcribed spacer 2". Lineage: Eukaryota; Fungi; Ascomycota; Leotiomycetes; Helotiales; Helotiaceae. The record is from RNAcentral.
CAACCAAUCCAGCGUGCUGGGUCUUGGGCCUCGCCUUCGGGCGGGCCUUAAAAUCAGUGGUGGCGCCUCCCGGCUCUAAGCGUAGUAAUUCUUCUCGCUACAGGGUCCCGGGUGGAGGCUGGCCAGCAACCCCUAAUUCUCAAA